RNAcentral lists this ribosomal RNA (468 nucleotides) under uncultured bacterium. RNAcentral's name for it is "partial 16S ribosomal RNA". It matches the Rfam family "Bacterial small subunit ribosomal RNA", at positions 28 to 507 of the family's 1533-position model. The record is from RNAcentral.
GACGAACACUGGCGGCGUGCUUAACACAUGCAAGUCGAACGGAAAGGCCCUGCUUUUGUGGGGUGCUCGAGUGGCGAACGGGUGAGUAACACGUGAGUAACCUGCCCUUGACUUUGGGAUAACUUCAGGAAACUGGGGCUAAUACCGGAUAGGAGCUCCUGCUGCAUGGUGGGGGUUGGAAAGUUUCGGCGGUUGGGGAUGGACUCGCGGCUUAUCAGCUUGUUGGUGGGGUAGUGGCUUACCAAGGCUUUGACGGGUAGCCGGCCUGAGAGGGUGACCGGCCACAUUGGGACUGAGAUACGGCCCAGACUCCUACGGGAGGCAGCAGUGGGGAAUAUUGCACAAUGGGCGGAAGCCUGAUGCAGCAACGCCGCGUGCGGGAUGACGGCCUUCGGGUUGUAAACCGCUUUCGCCUGUGACGAAGCGUGAGUGACGGUAAUGGGUAAAGAAGCACCGGCUAAUUACGUG